This 492-nucleotide ribosomal RNA is filed under the name uncultured bacterium. RNAcentral describes it as "partial 16S ribosomal RNA". It matches the Rfam family "Bacterial small subunit ribosomal RNA", at positions 29 to 507 of the family's 1533-position model. The record is from RNAcentral.
AGUGAACGCUGGCGGUAGGCCUAACACAUGCAAGUCGAACGGCAGCACAGUAAGAGCUUGCUCUUACGGGUGGCGAGUGGCGGACGGGUGAGGAAUACAUCGGAAUCUACUUUUUCGUGGGGGAUAACGUAGGGAAACUUACGCUAAUACCGCAUACGACCUACGGGUGAAAGCAGGGGAUCUUCGGACCUUGCGCGAUUGAAUGAGCCGAUGUCGGAUUAGCUAGUUGGCGGGGUAAAGGCCCACCAAGGCGACGAGCCGUAGCUGGUCUGAGAGGAUGAUCAGCCACACUGGAACUGAGACACGGUCCAGACUCCUACGGGAGGCAGCAGUGGGGAAUAUUGGACAAUGGGGGCAAGCCUGAUCCAGCCAUACCGCGUGGGUGAAGAAGGCCUUCGGGUUGUAAAGCCCUUUUGUUGGGAAAGAAAAGCAGCAGGUUAAUACCCCGCUGUUCUGACGGUACCCAAAGAAUAAGCACCGGCUAACUUCGUG